CCUACGGGAGGCUGCAGUGAGGAAUAUUGGUCAAUGGGCGCGAGCCUGAACCAGCCAAGUAGCGUGAAGGAUGACUGCCCUACGGGUUGUAAACUUCUUUUAUAAAGGAAUAAAGUGAGGCACGUGUGCCUUUUUGUAAGUACUUUAUGAAUAAGGAUCGGCUAACUCCGUGCCAGCAGCCGCGGUAAUACGGAGGAUCCGAGCGUUAUCCGGAUUUAUUGGGUUUAAAGGGAGCGUAGAUGGGUUGUUAAGUCAGUUGUGAAAGUUUGCGGCUCAACCGUAAAAAUGCAAUUGAUACUGGCAGGCUUGAGUACAGUUGAGGUAGGCGGAAUACGUUAUGUAGCGGUGAAAUGCUUAGAUAUCACGAAGAACUCCGAUUGCGAAGGCAGCUUACUAAACUGCCACUGACAUUGAUGCUCGAGAGUGUGGGUAUCAAACAGGAUUAGAUACCCGAGUAGUC
This 460-nucleotide ribosomal RNA is filed under the name uncultured bacterium. RNAcentral describes it as "partial 16S ribosomal RNA". It matches the Rfam family "Bacterial small subunit ribosomal RNA", at positions 338 to 795 of the family's 1533-position model. The record is from RNAcentral.